Metopolophium dirhodum (rose-grain aphid) is the source of this 968-nucleotide long non-coding RNA. RefSeq lists it as uncharacterized. The record is from RefSeq and is a predicted model, not a curated record. The transcript is spliced from 3 exons. NCBI's taxonomy places the organism in Eukaryota, Metazoa, Arthropoda, Insecta, Hemiptera, Aphididae.
UAUUAUCGACAACAUUGUCUGUCUUUCGUCAGCUUUAUCUAGUUCCCUUUCAAAUUGUUCAACAAUUUGUGCGUCCAUAGACCUAUAAACUAAGUAACCUAGUUUAUAGGUCUAUGGGUGCAUCCACGAUGAAAGAACUAAGUUAGUAAAGUUAGUUAAUCAUGGAUGCAUCGUUCGUUGUGGUGAAAUGGUGAUUGGUGAUACUCGUGCAGAUUGCAGUUGUAGCAGUUUGCAGUUACAGCUUUUAAAUCGGUUUCAAGUUUUCAACAUGGUUGGUCGUUGGUGUCAUCAUGGAGAACUUUGAUAGAUUCUUUGGUCUCUAUUUCCGUGAGUGAUUUACUGAUUCAUCACCAUUUGUAGACUUCACUUGCUCAUCGAUCAUCAGUUUAACCAUCACCAUAUUUUGGUGGUUACAAUAUCUUCAGUUGCCACACAAAAUCCAAUAUCACUGUUUAUAAUUUCUUCUACUGACUCGAUUGUUUCUUUUCCAAAGCUACUGAUUCUUGUUCAGGCUCAUCAUGAGAUGCAUCAAUCUUCGGCUGUUCUGUUUCUUCAGGAACUUUAAGAAGUUCUUUUGCAAUUUCAGAUUUUUUGCUUAUGGAUAAUCAAGGUGGAAUAGAAUAUGGAUGAACAUUUAAUUGUGACCAUUCAAUCACAGUCAUAGUUCAUAUCAUAUUCUAAUUUGAACAGAUCAUCAACUCAAAGAGCUCAAGAAGAUUUUAUUUUCAGCAUUGCAACAUCUUGCCAAAGUUCACAUUGAAUGAAACGAAGUUUCAUAGCAAAUUAUUUAAGUUCCGCAAAACAGUAACAUUGUUGACGUAUCAUUUUUUUUAUUGGAAAAUGAACUCUGUCAUGAAAAGUGUACUUGAAAACUGUUGUUAAUCAAUGUAUGUGACCUGUGUUGAAAAUACUAUUGUCAACUUAUUAGAUAAAUAUGAAAAAGUAAUAAAAAAUAUGUAUUAUGUUAA